Caenorhabditis elegans is the source of this 120-nucleotide non-coding RNA. The record is from Ensembl. NCBI's taxonomy places the organism in Eukaryota, Metazoa, Nematoda, Chromadorea, Rhabditida, Rhabditidae.
GAAAAAUUUAUGCGCAAAGUCCGGAAGAUUGCUCGCAACUGGUUCCAGCUGGACAGGCUGAGCAUUUGGCUCCGCUGUUGUAAAUGUUCUUGAACAAGUAGUUUCCUCUGAAAAAUAAUU